Oreochromis niloticus (Nile tilapia) is the source of this 640-nucleotide long non-coding RNA. RefSeq lists it as uncharacterized. The record is from RefSeq and is a predicted model, not a curated record. NCBI's taxonomy places the organism in Eukaryota, Metazoa, Chordata, Actinopteri, Cichliformes, Cichlidae. The transcript has 3 exons.
AGGAGAGCAGAAAAGUAUCCCUUUCCCAUGGUGGCUGCUUCUUGGAGGAAUCCUUGGGAUGAUGUUACUCUGCUUGAUUAUCUUUGUUUGGUGCUUAAAGUCAAAGCAUCAAACUCAACAACAGACUCAUAAUCAAAAAAGUGAAGAGCUGGUUGUUGAAGAGCCAGCAAGUAAAUCAGAAGGAGAAGAAGAAAACAUCCAUUACGGAGAGAUCAGCUUCUCUGUGCUGAGAAAUGAAGCAUCCUCUGACUCAGUGCAGGACAGAGGACAGCAGCAGGAUACAGUGUACGCACAGUUAAAUGUCAUUGAGCCAAAAAACACAGAGCGCGCUCACGGCCAAGAGGAACUGUAUGCUGAGGUCAAGAAAAAGUUAUAAGAUUACAUUAAGAAAGUGUAUUAAAGAAACACACACACACAAAUCUAAUUUUCUAUUAACCCCUCAAAUUACAUCCUGCAGCUUUUUAUGUUCAACUUUAAUUUCACCGCAAUCCAAUAAGGGACUAAUUCACAUGACAGUAGAAAAGACUGAACAUUAAAAACUUUUACAUAAUGUAGCUAUUUUUUUUAUUAUAUUAGUUAUCAUCAUGUUCAUACAAUAUUUGAAUGCUGGCAUGCUGUGUGUGCUCUUGUAUGAUUUAAU